Molecule: non-coding RNA, 1166 nt
Organism: Doryrhamphus excisus (bluestripe pipefish)
Lineage: Eukaryota; Metazoa; Chordata; Actinopteri; Syngnathiformes; Syngnathidae
Source: RefSeq, a predicted model, not a curated record
GAGGAGACAGGCUACAGGACGCUGCUAACACGAAGCCGCGUACCGUCGCUGCGGACAUCCGGGUUCUAGCGGGGACUGAAUUACGAGGGGAAUUGGCCAGGUGUGGGCGGUUGGGGACAACCCCCAUGCUACGAGGCGAGCUAGACCCAAAGGGAACCGAACCACUUCAACAUCCUCCUGCGGUCUGGUAGGGGUGUUGGCAGCCAGUUCUCUCCCACCUAUGCACUGGUCACUUUAUCUGUUCACAUAUGAACUCUGUUGCGCGCGGUCCUGGACAAUUUCCACAUAUACCAUGGACUCUGGGUCUCUAUGAGAUGGACAUUGGCUCCACACAUUGUUGUGGCCACUGACCCUUUAUUGUGAAUACUGUGAUUUUGUGCUUUGUGUGAUCUUAAGGGCGUUUACACCCUGGACUGUGCUGAACCACUGUUGAAUUGUGAUUUCUUUAUUUGUAAGAACCAAAUGAACUAGACUGAAAGACUGAAGUGCACUUCAUCAAACAGCUAUUGGAAUUCCCAAAACCUCUAUACCAGGGGUCAGCAACCUACAGCUCCAGAGCCACAUGUGGCUCUUAAGCCUCUUUGUUGUGGCUCCCUUUGCAAUGCUCAAGUAUUUUUUUUUGCAAAAAAAAAGACUUUUUGCGAGACCCUAUACUCCCAUCAACUCUGCUUUUUCUCCUCUGAACUUUUUUGACACCCCCAAAUUCCCUCCAAAUCGGGCAGUCAAUCAAAAUCUUUGAAGACUUGCAAUUGGCUGCCCAUUUCUUCAGGCGUCUAUUGAGGUUUAACCAAGAUGAUACUAUCAUGACCCAAUGAGCUAGCAUCCAUCACACAUCAAGUUAUUGUAUUCUGCUGUUAAAACUUGUUAAAAUUAAAAAUUAAUCUUUAAUUAAUCUAAAUUAAUCUAAAUUAAAAAAUUUAAAUUAAUCUACAUAGAUGUUUUUAAAUCAUGUUCUGCGGCUUCGGUCUAUUUUUCUUUCGUGAUCGAGGGGGUAAAAAUGGCUCUUUUGAUAAUAAAGGUUGCCGACCCCUGCUCUAUACCAUUUUACUGCCGUUUGUAAAUAUUGUAAAUAAUUUGUCACUGUUUGCACUUAAACCAAAUAACGCACCAAGCCACUUAAAAGUACAUUUUGUGUCUUCUGUGAUAUUACUGUACCUCAACCUCCC